RNAcentral lists this ribosomal RNA (273 nucleotides) under uncultured prokaryote. RNAcentral describes it as "partial 16S ribosomal RNA". It matches the Rfam family "Bacterial small subunit ribosomal RNA", at positions 355 to 619 of the family's 1533-position model. The record is from RNAcentral.
UGAGGAAUAUUGCGCAAUGGGGGCAACCCUGACGCAGCAACGCCGCGUGAGUGAGGAAGGUUUUCGGACCGUAAAGCUCUGUCGAGCGGGAAGAAAUGUAUCAUGGCUAAUAUCCAUAGUACUUGACGGUACCGCUAGAGGAAGCACCGGCUAACUCCGUGCCAGCAGCCGCGGUAAUACGGGGGGUGCAAGCGUUGUUCGGAAUUAUUGGGCGUAAAGAGCGUGUAGGCGGCUGGAUAAGUCAGAUGUGAACUCCCUGGGCUUAACCCAGGA